This 102-nucleotide microRNA precursor is filed under the name Marmota monax (woodchuck). The record is from RNAcentral. Lineage: Eukaryota; Metazoa; Chordata; Mammalia; Rodentia; Sciuridae.
AGUAGGAUAGCUGGGUCAAAUGGUGGUUUCAUUCCAAUUUUUCAAGGAAUCUCCAUACUACUUUCCAGAUUGGCUGCACCAAUUUGCAGACCCACCAGAAAU